This 755-nucleotide ribosomal RNA is filed under the name uncultured bacterium. RNAcentral describes it as "bacterial SSU rRNA". It matches the Rfam family "Bacterial small subunit ribosomal RNA", at positions 670 to 1424 of the family's 1533-position model. The record is from RNAcentral.
CAUGUGUAGCGGUGAAAUGCGUAGAUAUAUGGAGGAACNCCGGUGGCGAAAGCGGCUCUCUGGUCUGUCACUGACGCUGAGGCUNGAAAGCGUGGGUAGCGAACAGGAUUAGAUACCCUGGUAGUCCACGCCGUAAACGCUGAGUGCUAGGUGUUAGGUCCUUUCCGGGACUUAGUGCCGACGCUAACGCAUUAAGCACUCCGCCUGGGGAGUACGACCGCAAGGUUGAAACUCAAAGGAAUUGACGGGGGCCCGCACAAGCGGUGGAGCACGUGGUUUAAUUCGAAGCAACGCGAAGAACCUUACCAGGUCUUGACAUCCCGAUGCCCGCUCUAGAGAUAGAGUUUUACUUUUUGUACAUCGGAGACAGGUGGUGCAUGGUUGUCGUCAGCUCGUGUCGUGAGAUGUUGGGUUAAGUCCCGCAACGAGCGCAACCCUUAUUGUUAGUUGCCAUCAUUAAGUUGGGCACUCUAGCGAGACUGCCGGUAAUAAACCGGAGGAAGGUGGGGAUGACGUCAAAUCAUCAUGCCCCUUAUGACCUGGGCUACACACGUGCUACAAUGGUUGGUACAACGAGUCGCAAGCCGGUGACGGCAAGCUAAUCUCUGAAAGCCAAUCUCAGUUCGGAUUGUAGGCUGCAGCUCGCCUACAUGAAGUCGGAAUCGCUAGUAAUCGCGGAUCAGCACGCCGCGGUGAAUACGUUCCCGGGCCUUGUACACACCGCCCGUCACACCACGAGAGUUUGUANCACCCAA